This 389-nucleotide ribosomal RNA is filed under the name uncultured bacterium. RNAcentral's name for it is "bacterial SSU rRNA". It matches the Rfam family "Bacterial small subunit ribosomal RNA", at positions 29 to 425 of the family's 1533-position model. The record is from RNAcentral.
AACGAACGCUGGCGGCGUGCCUAACACAUGCAAGUCGAACGAGAAAGGUCGCAAGACUGAGUACAGUGGCGCACGGGUGAGUAAUACAUAGGAAUCUUCCCUUUAGUGAAGAAUACCCUGGAGAAAUCCAGGCUAAUACUGCAUAAGCCCAGAAAUGGGGAAAGGUGGCCUCAAGCUACCGCUGAAGGAUGAGCCUGUGUCCUAUUAGUUAGUUGGCAGGGUAAUGGCCUACCAAGACAAAGAUGGGUAUCCGGCCUGAGAGGGUGUACGGACACACUGGAACUGAAACACGGUCCAGACUCCUACGGGAGGCAGCAGUGGGGAAUAUUGCACAAUGGGCGCAAGCCUGAUGCAGCGACGCCGCGUGGAGGAUGACGGUCUUCGGAUUG